GAUGAACGCUGGCGGCGUGCCUAAUACAUGCAAGUCGAGCGAACGGACGAGAAGCUUGCUUCUCUGAUGUUAGCGGCGGACGGGUGAGUAACACGUGGAUAACCUACCUAUAAGACUGGGAUAACUUCGGGAAACCGGAGCUAAUACCGGAUAAUAUUUUGAACCGCAUGGUUCAAAAGUGAAAGACGGUCUUGCUGUCACUUAUAGAUGGAUCCGCGCUGCAUUAGCUAGUUGGUAAGGUAACGGCUUACCAAGGCAACGAUGCAUAGCCGACCUGGGAGGGUGAUCGGACACACUGGAACUGAGACACGGUCCAGACUCCUACGGGAGGCAGCAGUAGGGAAUCUUCCGCAAUGGGCGAAAGCCUGACGGAGCAACGCCGCGUGAGUGAUGAAGGUCUUCGGACCGUAAAACUCUGUUAUUAGGGAAGAACAUAUGUGUAAGUAACUGUGCACAUCUUGACGGUACCUAAUCAGAAAGCCACGGCUAACUACGUG
Molecule: ribosomal RNA, 497 nt
Filed under: uncultured bacterium
Lineage: Bacteria
Description: partial 16S ribosomal RNA
Rfam family: Bacterial small subunit ribosomal RNA
Source: RNAcentral